Molecule: transfer RNA, 76 nt
Filed under: Mesoaciditoga lauensis
Lineage: Bacteria; Thermotogati; Thermotogota; Thermotogae; Mesoaciditogales; Mesoaciditogaceae
Description: tRNA-Val
Rfam family: tRNA
About the family: Transfer RNA (tRNA) molecules are approximately 80 nucleotides in length. Their secondary structure includes four short double-helical elements and three loops (D, anti-codon, and T loops).
Source: RNAcentral
GAGCGCGUAGCUCACAUGGUAGAGCGCUUCCCUGACGCGGAAGAGGCAGCAGGUUCAAUCCCUGCCGCGCUCACCA